Molecule: RNA transcript, 1735 nt
Organism: Anolis carolinensis (green anole)
Lineage: Eukaryota; Metazoa; Chordata; Lepidosauria; Squamata; Anolidae
Gene: rtn4ip1
Gene name: reticulon 4 interacting protein 1
Exons: 10
Source: RefSeq, a predicted model, not a curated record
ACGCGCGCAUGCUAACAUCGGGGCCGCUGAUUGGCUCCAGGCUUGUAGGGAGGGAAUGAUGCUGUGUUGCUAUUGGCCCCGGUGGCAAAUCGUUCUCCCGCGUGGAAGUGAGAGAGAGAGUUUGUCUGAAGGAGACUCGGGGGGAGAGUGUCGCUUAAAGUAAAUUCAACAGGAAGGCAACUCUUCUUUCUCUGCCUUCCUAUUCUUAUCAUACAUUUUGAUACUUGAAAAUAUGGUGAGAGAUGCCCACUUGAGGGAAAAGGAGCAAAGCUAGAAAAGCUACAGACAUCCCGAUUCAGUUCUUAUUUGUGGGGAAGGGUGCGUUUGAGUGGCCUUCGCGAACAAAAUCUCUCCCCUUUGGCCCUCACGAUGUUGCCGAAAGGACACUCGGCGGGCAGGAAAGUGUUCGGCUUGUUUUGGGCCCGGCCUGGCUGCGCUGCCUGCCUCCCUGGAAGAGGGACAGGCCCACGCCCUUGCCCGCAGCCUCUGGGCCGGCACCUGCACGCCUCCUGCCCACGCUGGACCACCAUGCCCUCCUGGGUGAUCGACCGGUACGGGAACAACGACGCCCUCCGCUUCACCAGCAACAUGAUGUUCCCCAUCAUACACUUCCCCAAUGAGGUUAUUAUUAAAGUCCACGCUGCAAGCUUAAACCCUAUAGACGUUAGCAUGAGAAGUGGUUAUGGAGCUGCUGCUUUAAGGCUGAAGCGAGAUCCAUUGCGGAUCAAAACAUCAGGAAGUGAAUUUCCUUUAACACUUGGUCGCGAUGUUUCAGGGGUUGUGAUGGAAUGUGGAUUAAAUGUGUCCUAUUUCAAACCUGGAGAUGAGGUCUGGGCAGCAAUUCCACCCUGGAAACAAGGAACUUUAUCAGAGUUUGUUGUAGCAAGUGGAAAUGAGGUAUCUAGAAAACCAAGUUGUCUCAGUCAUGUUCAGGCAGCUUCCCUGCCUUAUGUUGGUUUAACAGCAUGGUCUGCAGUGAACCAAGUUGGAAGACUAAAUAAAGAUAAUUGUAGCAAUAAAAGAGUAUUAAUCUUUGGUGCCUCUGGUGGAGUAGGAACCUUUGCAAUACAGUUAGUGAAAGCCUGGGAUGCUCAUGUGACAGCUGUUUGUUCUCAGGAUGCCAGUGAAUUGGUGAAACACCUUGGAGCUGAUGAAGUGAUUGAUUAUAAAUCUGGGAGUAUGGAAAAGCAGUUGAAAAUGUUACCAGCGUUUGAUUUCAUUCUAGAUAAUAUUGGUGGAUCCACUGAAAAGUGGGCUCCUGAUCUCCUUAAGAAGUGGUCAGGGGCCACAUAUGUCUCAUUGGUAACGCCCUUCCUUGUGAACGUGGAUAGGCUUGGGGUAGCUGAUGGCAUGCUACAGACUGGAGUGACCAUUGGUGGGAAAACUAUAAAGCAUCUUUGUAAAGGAAUCCAUUACCGGUGGGCCUUUUUCACACCAAGUGGUCCUUAUCUGGAUGAAAUCACUGAUCUUGUUAAUAUAGGAAAGAUUUCUGUUUCUCUGAAUAUCCUCUCAGAAGUUGGUCAAUAAGCAUGCCCUCGUUGGAGAAUAUGCUCAGUCCUUGUGGAGCUCUUCUUGGUUUCUCUUCUAAGGCUUCUUCUUCAAAAGAUACAUCCAGUUAUUGAUCAAGUUUUCUCAUUUUCUGAUGUUCCCAAGGCCUUCCAGAAGUUGGAAGAAGGGCAUGCACGAGGAAAAACAGUAAUCAGUGUAACUAAUAAAAAAUAAUUACUGGUUUGUA